UAGGGAAUCUUCGGCAAUGGGGGGAACCCUGACCGAGCAACGCCGCGUGAGUGAAGAAGGUUUUCGGAUCGUAAAGCUCUGUUGUUAAGGAAGAACGAGUGUGAGAAUGGAAAGUUCAUACUGUGACGGUACUUAACCAGAAAGGGACGGCUAACUACGUGCCAGCAGCCGCGGUAAUACGUAGGUCCCGAGCGUUGUCCGGAUUUAUUGGGCGUAAAGCGAGCGCAGGCGGUUAGAUAAGUCUGAAGUUAAAGGCAGUGGCUCAACCAUUGUAGGCUUUGGAAACUGUUUAACUUGAGUGCAGAAGGGGAGAGUGGAAUUCCAUGUGUAGCGGUGAAAUGCGUAGAUAUAUGGAGGAACACCGGUGGCGAAAGCGGCUAUCUGGUCUGUAACUGACGCUGAGGCUCGAAAGCGUGGGGAGCGAACAGG
This 429-nucleotide ribosomal RNA is filed under the name Bacteroidota bacterium. RNAcentral describes it as "Bacteroidetes bacterium partial 16S ribosomal RNA". It matches the Rfam family "Bacterial small subunit ribosomal RNA", at positions 355 to 776 of the family's 1533-position model. The record is from RNAcentral. Lineage: Bacteria; Pseudomonadati; Bacteroidota.